AAUAUCAACAACAGAACUAACAAUGAAUGAAAAAUACCUAAGGUAAGGACCGGGCAUUCGGAGGCUCACAGCCCAUAGACAUACACACUAAAAGCCAAAGUAAGGAAGGCUCCUCUCCAUACGAAGGGGCGCGGGGAGGGAAACUGAGGCCAGGCGCUAGUUCCCACUCCCCGCUCUGCCCCCUCCUGCGAGCCAGACCCACAGCCAGGUCGUCUGGUGGCUGUGGCGUGCUGGAACCCGAGCCCAGUAGGCCUGGUGAACCGGGCUGUCGCCCGGUCCCCUCCUCUGCCUUCCCCUCCCUCUCCGGACCUCUCCCACGACCAGAGAGGAAGUGGGAGAGAAAAGGACAAGGGGGUUAAAAAAAAAAAA
Molecule: long non-coding RNA, 369 nt
Filed under: Rattus norvegicus (Norway rat)
Lineage: Eukaryota; Metazoa; Chordata; Mammalia; Rodentia; Muridae
Description: long non-coding RNA NONRATT026462
Source: RNAcentral